CGCCUCUUGCUAAUAAGUAAGUAUAAGAGGUCCCGCCUGCCCAGUGAGCAAUUUCAACGGCCGCGGUAUCAUGACCGUGCAAAGGUAGCGUAAUCACUUGUCUUUUAAAUAAAGACCUGUAUGAAUGGCAAAACGAAAGUUCAACUGUCUCUUUAGUCCAAUCAAUUAAAUUUAUCUCUCCGUGCAGAAGCGGAGAUAAACAUAUAAGACGAGAAGACCCUAUGGAGCUUUAAACACACUAUUAACUAUGCCCCCCUACAACAACCCGACAGGCAAAAAUUAUAGACCGCAUAGAUGUAAUACAAGUUUUGGGUUGGGGCGACCACGGAAGAAAAAUCAUCCUCCGAGAUAAACAGUUUAGAACAACAUUUCAAAAAUUAAAACAUUUAUUAAAAAUGAUCCACUAAGUGAUCAACGAACCAAGUUACCCUAGGGAUAACAGCGCAAUCCUUUCUAAGAGUUCAUAUCGACGAACGGGUUUACGACCUCGAUGUUGGAUCAGGACACCCAAACGGUGCAGCCGCUGUUAAUGGUUCGUUUGUUCAACGAUUAAAGUCCUACGUGAUCUGAGUUCAGACCGGAGUAAUCCAGGUCAGUUUCUAUCUAUAAAAAAUUUUUUCUAGUACGAAAGGACCGAAAAAAUAGAGCCACUUAUAAUAAAAAAGCUCUUAAGCAGUUGAAAACAAAUAAAACACAUAAUAAAAGACACCCUUAGAGCAAGGACAGA
RNAcentral lists this ribosomal RNA (727 nucleotides) under Pleurodeles waltl (Iberian ribbed newt). Its description in RNAcentral is "partial 16S ribosomal RNA". It matches the Rfam family "Bacterial large subunit ribosomal RNA", at positions 1816 to 2833 of the family's 2925-position model. Lineage: Eukaryota; Metazoa; Chordata; Amphibia; Caudata; Salamandridae. The record is from RNAcentral.